UACGUAGGGGGCAAGCGUUGUUCGGAAUUACUGGGCGUAAAGGGCGCGUAGGCGGCACGGCAAGUCAGGAGUGAAAGGCCUGGGCUCAACCGAGGAACUGCUUUUGAGACUGCCGAGCUAGAGUGCAGAAGGGGCAACUGGAAUUCCCAGUGUAGCGGUGAAAUGCGUAGAUAUUGGGAAGAACACCGGUGGCGAAGGCGGGUCUCUGGGCCGAUACUGACGCUGAGGAGCGAAAGCGUGGGGAGCGAACAGG
RNAcentral lists this ribosomal RNA (253 nucleotides) under uncultured bacterium. RNAcentral describes it as "partial 16S ribosomal RNA". It matches the Rfam family "Bacterial small subunit ribosomal RNA", at positions 524 to 776 of the family's 1533-position model. The record is from RNAcentral.